Molecule: ribosomal RNA, 776 nt
Filed under: Urochelellus acutihumeralis
Lineage: Eukaryota; Metazoa; Arthropoda; Insecta; Hemiptera; Urostylididae
Description: 12S ribosomal RNA
Source: RNAcentral
UAUUAGAUUACUAUAAAUUUAAUUCUAGUUAUUAAAAUAAAUAUUACUUUAAUUUUACAUGUAUAUUUUGGUAAGAUUUUAUAUUCUCUAAAAGGGAAUUUUAUGAUUAAUCGCAGUUUUUAAUAUUAUUAAUUUAAAUAAUUUUAGAAUUAAUUAUUAGUUAUAUGAUUAGCUAAAAGUGUGCCAGCAGCUGCGGUUAUACACUUAAUCAAGUUUAUUUUUUUCUGAUUACAAUUACUAUAUUUUGGAUGUUUAUAAUUUAUUUCUAGGGUGAAAUCUGAAAUUAUUUUAUAUUCUUGGUAAGGAUUUUGUGAAAUUUUUAUAUAAACUAGGAUUAGAUACCCUAUUAUUUUAAAUGUAAAUUUAAUUAGUAUUAAUAGUUAUGAUCUUUAAAUUAAAAGAAUUUGACGGUAAUUUAAUCUGUUCAGAGGAGCUUGUAUUUUAAUUGAUAAUCCACGAUAGAUCUUACCUAAAAUAUUAGUUUGUAUAUCUCUGUCUUAAGAAUGUUUUAUUAGAAUAUUAUCUUCGAGUAUGUUAUUUAAAAUUUAUGUCAGGUCAAGGUGCAGCUUAUUUAGGUUUAUAUGAGCUACAUUAAUUUUAAUUAUAGUUAAAUAAUUGAAUAGAUUGUUUAUAAAAUGGAUUUGAUUGUAAUAUAUAUUAUCUAUUAUUUAUGAUAAUUGCUCUGGAUUAAGUACAUAUCGCCCGUCGCUCUUAUAUAAAAGAUAAGAUAAGUCGUAACAAAGUAGACCUAUCGGAAGAUGGGUCUGGAAUUAAUU